UACGGAGGGUGCAAGCGUUGUCCGGAUUUAUUGGGUUUAAAGGGUGCGUAGGCGGCCCUGUAAGUCAGUGCUGAAAUAUCCCAGCUUAACUGGGAGGGUGGCAUUGAUACUGCGGGGCUAGAGUACAGAUGAGGUAGGCGGAAUUGACGGUGUAGCGGUGAAAUGCUUAGAUAUCGUCAAGAACACCUAUAGCGAAGGCAGCUCACUAGGCUGUAACUGACGCUGAGGCACGAAAGUGUGGGGAUCAAACAGG
Molecule: ribosomal RNA, 253 nt
Filed under: uncultured bacterium
Lineage: Bacteria
Description: partial 16S ribosomal RNA
Rfam family: Bacterial small subunit ribosomal RNA
Source: RNAcentral